UGCGUAUGCGGGCUAAUAAGUCAGUGGUGAAAUCUCUCGGCUCAACCGGGAAACUGCCAUUGAUACUGUUAGUCUUGAGUUCGGUUGAGGUAGGCGGAAUGUGUAAUGUAGCGGUGAAAUGCUUAGAUAUUACACAGAACACCAAUUGCGUAGGCAGCUUACUAGACCGACACUGACGCUGAGGCACGAAAGCGUGGGGAGCGAACAGGAUUAGAUACCCUGGUAGUCC
This 229-nucleotide ribosomal RNA is filed under the name uncultured bacterium. Its description in RNAcentral is "partial 16S ribosomal RNA". It matches the Rfam family "Bacterial small subunit ribosomal RNA", at positions 568 to 796 of the family's 1533-position model. The record is from RNAcentral.